GCUCCUCCUGGCCAGGUGCAGAAGAAAUUAGCAGGAGGCCUCUUAACUGACUGGCUCCAAUAAGAUAAGGAAAAUGAUGCCCAGCUCUUUUCAACCUAUCCCAAACUCAACCCAUCAUCUUCCCUCCCGGCCACACACCCCUGGGAACUGAAGGAAACAAAAACACGUGCAUUUAACAUGAGAUGUAACAUUCCUGGGGCCUCUUAAAAUGCUCUCUUCAUCUCCAGCCUUCCCUGCUUCAAUACCUACUGCCAUCACUCCUGCACACCCUGGGCCCCUGCACAUUCGCACCCACCUCUGGUAUUCAGGGUCCUCCAUAGUCCAGCCCCUCCUGCCCUGUACCAUUCAUUCAUUCAACAAAGUCAGUUGAUACUUGUUGUCAUUGA
Molecule: long non-coding RNA, 386 nt
Organism: Marmota flaviventris (yellow-bellied marmot)
Lineage: Eukaryota; Metazoa; Chordata; Mammalia; Rodentia; Sciuridae
Source: RefSeq, a predicted model, not a curated record